CGAAGGGUGCAAGCGUUGCUCGGAAUUAUUGGGCGUAAAGGGUAGGUAGGUUGUCUUGUUUGUCUGAGGUGAAAUCCCAUGGCUUAACUGUGGAAGUGCCUCAGAAACGGCAAGACUAGAGUCCUAGAGGGGUUUGUGGAAUUCCCGGUGUAGCGGUGAAAUGCGUAGAGAUCGGGAGGAACACCAGCGGCGAAGGCGGCAAACUGGAUAGGAACUGACACUCAACUACGAAAGCGUGGGGAUCAAACAGGAUUAGAUACCCUGGUAGUCCACGCUGUAAACGAUGGGUACUAGGCUUUGUGGGAAUAGACCCCUGCAGAGCCGGAGCUAACGCAAUAAGUACCCCGCCUGGGAAGUACGGUCGCAAGACUA
RNAcentral lists this ribosomal RNA (372 nucleotides) under uncultured organism. Its description in RNAcentral is "bacterial SSU rRNA". It matches the Rfam family "Bacterial small subunit ribosomal RNA", at positions 526 to 896 of the family's 1533-position model. The record is from RNAcentral.